This 405-nucleotide ribosomal RNA is filed under the name Salmonella enterica. Its description in RNAcentral is "partial 23S ribosomal RNA". It matches the Rfam family "Bacterial large subunit ribosomal RNA", at positions 711 to 1113 of the family's 2925-position model. RNAcentral also lists the same sequence under 2 other names. Lineage: Bacteria; Pseudomonadati; Pseudomonadota; Gammaproteobacteria; Enterobacterales; Enterobacteriaceae. The record is from RNAcentral.
AGACCCGAAACCCGGUGAUCUAGCCAUGGGCAGGUUGAAGGUUGGGUAACACUAACUGGAGGACCGAACCGACUAAUGUUGAAAAAUUAGCGGAUGACCUGUGGCUGGGGGUGAAAGGCCAAUCAAACCGGGAGAUAGCUGGUUCUCCCCGAAAGCUAUUUAGGUAGCGCCUCGUGAAUUCAUCUCCGGGGGUAGAGCACUGUUUCGGCUAGGGGGCCAUCCCGGCUUACCAACCCGAUGCAAACUGCGAAUACCGGAGAAUGUUAUCACGGGAGACACACGGCGGGUGCUAACGUCCGUCGUGAAGAGGGAAACAACCCAGACCGCCAGCUAAGGUCCCAAAGUCAUGGUUAAGUGGGAAACGAUGUGGGAAGGCCCAGACAGCCAGGAUGUUGGCUUAGAAGC